RNAcentral lists this ribosomal RNA (761 nucleotides) under Prevotella melaninogenica. RNAcentral's name for it is "bacterial SSU rRNA". It matches the Rfam family "Bacterial small subunit ribosomal RNA", at positions 28 to 776 of the family's 1533-position model. The record is from RNAcentral. Lineage: Bacteria; Pseudomonadati; Bacteroidota; Bacteroidia; Bacteroidales; Prevotellaceae.
GAUGAACGCUAGCUACAGGCUUAACACAUGCAAGUCGAGGGGAAACGGCAUUAAGUGCUUGCACUUUUUGGACGUCGACCGGCGCACGGGUGAGUAACGCGUAUCCAACCUUCCCAUGACUAAGGGAUAACCUGCCGAAAGGCAGACUAAUACCUUAUGGUCUUCACUGACGGCAUCAGAUGUGAAGUAAAGAUUUAUCGGUUAUGGAUGGGGAUGCGUCUGAUUAGCUUGUUGGCGGGGUAACGGCCCACCAAGGCAACGAUCAGUAGGGGUUCUGAGAGGAAGGUCCCCCACAUUGGAACUGAGACACGGUCCAAACUCCUACGGGAGGCAGCAGUGAGGAAUAUUGGUCAAUGGGCGAGAGCCUGAACCAGCCAAGUAGCGUGCAGGAUGACGGCCCUAUGGGUUGUAAACUGCUUUUGUAUGGGGAUAAAGUCAAUCACGUGUGAUUGUUUGCAGGUACCAUACGAAUAAGGACCGGCUAAUUCCGUGCCAGCAGCCGCGGUAAUACGGAAGGUCCGGGCGUUAUCCGGAUUUAUUGGGUUUAAAGGGAGCGUAGGCUGGAGAUUAAGUGUGUUGUGAAAUGUAGGCGCUCAACGUCUGACUUGCAGCGCAUACUGGUUUCCUUGAGUACGCACAACGUCGGCGGAAUUCGUCGUGUAGCGGUGAAAUGCUUAGAUAUGACGAAGAACUCCGAUUGCGAAGGCAGCUGACGGGAGCGCAACUGACGCUGAAGCUCGAAGGUGCGGGUAUCGAACAGG